GGUUUCGUAGUUUAAAAGAAAACGGGGAAUUGCAAGUUCUUAAAUGUGUUUUAAUCAACGCCGAGAUCU
This 69-nucleotide transfer RNA is filed under the name Glossobalanus marginatus. Its description in RNAcentral is "tRNA-Cys". Lineage: Eukaryota; Metazoa; Hemichordata; Enteropneusta; Ptychoderidae. The record is from RNAcentral.